RNAcentral lists this transfer RNA (62 nucleotides) under Bactrurus brachycaudus. RNAcentral's name for it is "tRNA-Met". The record is from RNAcentral. Lineage: Eukaryota; Metazoa; Arthropoda; Malacostraca; Amphipoda; Crangonyctidae.
UAAAAGAUAAGCUAAUUAAAGCUGGAGGGCUCAUACCCCUCCUAUGAGAAAUUCUCUUUUAU